GAGUGGGAAGCCAUUCUCUUCUCCAGGGAAUCUUACUGACCCAGGGAUUGAACCCGAGUCUCCUGAAUUGCAGACAGAAUCUUUACCAUCUGAGCCACCAGGGAAGCCCCUGGUGUGGGGGAAGCAGUGGCAAUUAACUGAGGAAGCAUGGAUCAACAAUCUUUCUAGUUUGUUGAGAGAAGUCUGUUGGCAUUCCACUUCACUUGUCAGGCUGCAUAUAAAGGCAAAGAUUGGAGAUCUACAAAUGAAAAGAAAUAUUUCAACAGACAAUGCCUGGUACUUUCAAUCUGAUCACUUUACAAACAAGCAGAUGCUUUCUCUAUUGUACGGAUGACCUCAUCAGGGAAAGUGGAUUAAGCUCUGGAUCACUCUACUCAGAGCCAUCCUCCAGCACUUCUCAAAUCACAGGCCUAUUCUUCUGCUCUACUCUUACCUUAAAAAAACAAGGACGAUUCUAAAUAACAUUCAUCUCAUUAAUUAAAAAAACAAAUAGGUCCUGUUCUCAUCAUCUGAUGAAGAUGGAGAUAGGUUAGCCCCUUUCCUUGGAAGUCUCUCUUAAAAGUUGCCUCAGGGAGUUUCCGGGUUGUUUGACCUCUACAACUCUUGAGUCCCUUGGACUGCAAGGAGAUCCAACCAGUCUGUCCUAAAGGAGAUCAGUCCUGGGUGUUCACUGGAAGGACUGAUGUUGAAGCUGCAAC
Long non-coding RNA from Cervus elaphus (red deer), 698 nucleotides. RefSeq lists it as uncharacterized. Lineage: Eukaryota; Metazoa; Chordata; Mammalia; Artiodactyla; Cervidae. The record is from RefSeq and is a predicted model, not a curated record. The transcript has 3 exons.